UGACACUUGUUGGAAACGUUUCCUCUAGUUAAACAUCCUCUUUCAUUGCUGCAGUGAUGAAGAACUGGAGCUACGCAGGAGACCACAUGGAGGGAAGAUAUUGACAUUUGACGUUUGGGAUUUUCUUUUCACCGGACCUGUCUGAGGUCCAUUGAAGACCUCCCGGAGGGUGACCCGGACAGAAAUGCUGCCGUGACGCCAGUCUUCAGGCUGACAUGUCAAGGAUAUUCAGCAGAUCGCAAAGGUGUGUCCCUCCUGCUAAACCACUAAAAGAGAAGCUAUCAAUGCUUUUGCUAUCAUUGUGAGCCUCUUACAAGAAUUGCAAAGCCUAUAACGAUCCUGAGCUGAUG
Long non-coding RNA from Syngnathoides biaculeatus (alligator pipefish), 350 nucleotides. RefSeq lists it as uncharacterized. The transcript is spliced from 3 exons. The record is from RefSeq and is a predicted model, not a curated record. NCBI's taxonomy places the organism in Eukaryota, Metazoa, Chordata, Actinopteri, Syngnathiformes, Syngnathidae.